CAGAAGGGGUUGGUUUUUUGUUUUGUUUUGUUUUUGUUUUGUCCCUGGUUACCUGGUCAAAUAAGAGCCAGUGAUUUUUGCAGCUUGAGGACUGGAAUAUUAGAAUUGCUUCUAAUAUUAAAAAGUGAAGCCCAGAAGACAUCAUGGAAAUAAAACGUAUAAUGCUGCAGAGGAAGAGGAUCACAUGGAGGAAUCAUCUCUCACACUUUUUUAAAGUGCUAAAAGUCUUCUAAAACCCAAUAAGGAUCUUAUAACAUUUUCUCUGUGAUGUAUUCCAGGCUUUGAAGUUGCCAGAGAAACAUUUUGAAGCAAAGCUUUCCUUGGAAACUUUAUGGUCUUCUCAACUCUUUAUCAAAGGCCUGGAAAUAUCAUUCCUUAACCAUACUUAAAACUCUAGCCCCUUUGAAGAAAAAAGCAAAGAGAUACAUUUCUUUAUGUAUAUGUACAUAUACAUGAAUGCACAGUCUUCACAGUGGCUAAGUUUAUCCCCCGUUUUUCCUCUGGCAUGUUUAGCUGUUCUACUGUGAGAUAGGUUGGGCCUCAAAAAGGAACAAAUGCUCCAAAAACACCUAUUGAUCUACAAAUUUUUGUGGCUUCUACCAUACUAGAAUGCUUCUCCUUCCCUUUUAAAUGUGAGUUUAUGCAAAUGAAUAAAUCCUGUAUAUUCUACACAAUCUAGAACUUAUUGUUAUGAACAAAUCAUUUUCAUAAUAAUUAACUCCAUCUUUAUCUAGCAAGCUUUCCCAGCGUAUAUGCUAUACACACUAUUGAAGCCAACAUUAUUUACGGCAAAACUCAAACACACUCAAAUCUGUGUCUUAAUAUUUUUCAAAUGAUCCUGUCUCAAAGUUGAGAUUAGAAUGACCAAAUGUCAUUCUGAAAUGGGAAUGGCCUAUGAACUUUUAAAGCUCAGUUUAGUUCAGGAUAACAUACAGAACGUUUCCAAACAUUUUGCUGCUAUUCUAAUGUCUUGGCCUUCUUUCAGAAAAUUGAUUGCCUCUGCAGGUUUUAAAACCAUUAUCAAUGAAAAUAAAGCACACAAUAUGUACACCCCAAAAUAAAAUUUCUGCAACCCUCAGAGUUCUCCUGAGCCAUUUAUUAUUUUCUCCAGAACAUGAGUGAAACCAGUAUGGGUACCCAUUAGCAUUUAGAAUUGAAAUAUGGGAACC
Crotalus tigris (Tiger rattlesnake) is the source of this 1169-nucleotide long non-coding RNA. RefSeq lists it as uncharacterized. The transcript has 3 exons. Lineage: Eukaryota; Metazoa; Chordata; Lepidosauria; Squamata; Viperidae. The record is from RefSeq and is a predicted model, not a curated record.